Non-coding RNA from Ictidomys tridecemlineatus (thirteen-lined ground squirrel), 72 nucleotides. Lineage: Eukaryota; Metazoa; Chordata; Mammalia; Rodentia; Sciuridae. The record is from Rfam.
UGGGGUGUAGCUCAGUGAUAGGGUGCUUGCCCAGUAUGCACAAGGUCCUGGGUUUGAUCCCCAGCAUCACAA